Xiphophorus couchianus (Monterrey platyfish) is the source of this 746-nucleotide non-coding RNA. NCBI's taxonomy places the organism in Eukaryota, Metazoa, Chordata, Actinopteri, Cyprinodontiformes, Poeciliidae. The record is from the annotation of a RefSeq genome assembly.
UGUAUUGUGGUGCUAAGCCGUUCAGUGAUUUUUAAACUAACAGUAUUUUAAAGUCUAUUCUUUGAGCUACAGGGAGCCAGUGUAGGGACUUUAAAACUGUAUCUUCCUGUAUGUAUUAUUCUGUCCAGAAUAAUACAUUUCUGGGCAGAAAUUGAUUGUUUAACUGAUCAACAGCAGACUGAUCUGCUGGAGUCAGUCAGAACAUUUCCAUAGAGCCACUUUGCAUCAGCAGCUCCAUGCUCCAGUGCUCUGGGAGAGUUUAUAGUCCUGAGAGUUGAACACUGAAUGACUGACAGCUGUCCUUCAUCACAACCGAAGACACAGAAAUCCUCCUCAUCACAAACAUGACUUUGAUCUGCAUCCUCAUCUGGACUCUCCUCUGCUGCUGCUUCACAGAGGUCAGAGGUCAGGUCACAGUGACUCAGCAGCCUGUAGCAGUGAGAGCUGAUCUGGGAAGAUCUAUCAGCAUCAACUGUAGAACCAGUCAGAAUGUUUAUGUAAACAGCAAUGGCCACCGUUUAGCCUGGUACCAACAGAAAGAUGGACAAACUCCUAAGCUUCUCAUUUAUUAUGCCAGCACUCGAGCAUCAGGGACUCCAAGUCGUUUUACAGGCAGUGGAUCAAACUCUGACUUCACUCUGACCAUUAUUGGAGUUCAGGCUGAAAAUGCUGGAGUUUAUUACUGUCAGAGUGCUCACUACAUCAACAGCAAGUGGAUGUUCACACAGUGAAAAACCAUCGUACAA